Molecule: long non-coding RNA, 864 nt
Organism: Sebastes umbrosus (honeycomb rockfish)
Lineage: Eukaryota; Metazoa; Chordata; Actinopteri; Perciformes; Sebastidae
Exons: 2
Source: RefSeq, a predicted model, not a curated record
UGCUGAGAACCGUCAGCUCGUCGCCCACCAGCAGAGAGUUCCAGAACUGCAGUACACAACCCGAGGCCUUGGCUGUGGCGAUCACGUCGUUGCGGUCAGUUAAUUUUAGAUGCCAAUCUCCAGGAAAUACAAUGAAGCUACUUAGCUGUGCCAAAUCACAUGAACUCUUGAAUUAAUUUCUAAUGAAGACAGAUGUUGUCUCCUACCUUCCCCUGUGGCGACCCAGCGCAUGUCCCCUCCCUGUGGCUCGAUGAUGAGGUUCGCUGUGGAUCCUCUAGGAAAGAGGUGCUGCAUAGCCUCCAGGUCUCCUGUAUACAGAGCGUUCUGGACGACCACAUCUUGGCAGACAGCUGGUGGCGUGGCAGUCCUCGACGUCGACGGUGCCCUGUCCCUGAGCGUCUUCUUCAGCAUAUAGCUAUUGAAGUGAUGGGAGGCCAGCUGCCUCUUGAUCUUGUGUCUCUCCAGCAUGUCUUCAUCAUACUCAAGAGAGCGUAAGGCCAUGGAUGUGAAGACAAAGCUGUCUCGCGACAUGCUAAAUGGCCUCUCACAGAGAAAAGUGUUUGUGUAAAAGAUGUGUAUGAUUAAGUGAGGGAAGCCUGUCUCUCUGUUUCUGUUGUUGUUUCCUUCUCUCUGGAUAAUGUCCACUAUGUGCCUGCCGGCUGUUCACAGGACUGGUUCACAGAGUUGUUUUGAUAUUCGGUAUGAGACCCUCCCUGGAGUAUGACAAGUAAUGCUAUUUUUAUGUCUCACGUGCAGCCAUUCGAGCCUCUCCUGUUCGCCUCCAGCAAUGUUACAGCCAUGAAGUGUCUCUGUCAGGCUGUAAGUAUCAAAUGAGUUGAAUAAACUCAUGUUUUGUAACUACAA